Molecule: ribosomal RNA, 253 nt
Filed under: uncultured bacterium
Lineage: Bacteria
Description: partial 16S ribosomal RNA
Rfam family: Bacterial small subunit ribosomal RNA
Source: RNAcentral
UACGAAGGGUGCAAGCGUUAAUCGGAAUUACUGGGCGUAAAGCGUGCGUAGGCGGUUUCUUAAGUCCGUUGUGAAAGCCCUGGGCUCAACCUGGGAACUGCGAUGGAUACUGAGGAGCUGGAGUACGGUAGAGGAAGGUGGAAUUCCCGGUGUAGCGGUGAAAUGCGUAGAGAUCGGGAGGAACACCGGUGGCGAAGGCGGGUCUCUGGGCCGAUACUGACGCUGAGGAGCGAAAGCGUGGGGAGCGAACAGG